RNAcentral lists this long non-coding RNA (352 nucleotides) under Citrus x clementina. Its description in RNAcentral is "Citrus clementina (C. clementina) long non-coding RNA (CCLE_LNC003506)". The record is from RNAcentral. Lineage: Eukaryota; Viridiplantae; Streptophyta; Magnoliopsida; Sapindales; Rutaceae.
UCCUGAAUGAUUCAGUAAGUGGAAUAUUUGUAUUUGUUCAUUGCAUCGAAGUUUCUAACACAUGCAUUCAAUUAUUGAACAGAGAAUAUUUGACAGUUUCUAAAUGGAAUGUUAACUUUAUAGACGCAAAAUGUAAUUAAUCAAAUUAAUGUUGACAAUCAUGUGACAUGUAUUGUUCAAUGUAUGCUUUAGUAUGCUUAAUUUCUUGCUUAUCAUAUCAGAAUAUAUCAGUACAGUAAGAUUCGAAAUGACUAAAAUUAUUUUGUAAAAUUCUUCCUAUCGAAAACAUUGUUUUGUUAUUCAUUCAUAUCAUUGUUUCUUUUUCUCUCUUUUUUCUUUUUUAAUAUUAUUC